CCACAAGCCAGGCUGGGUCCUCAAAGCCUGGGCUGGCGGGAAGACAUCCACAGCCCACCUGAUGCUAUUCUGCUCAGGCAGAUGGAAGCCACCCACAGGCCAGCCUGGGUCCUCAAGGCCUUGGCUGGAGCGACAGGUCGACGCCAUUAUGAUGGGCUAAUGUGUGGUGAGGAAAUGGGAGACAGAGAAGCAGAAUGGUUCGCGUGAUGUGGAAAGAGGCGGAAUGGAUACGUGAAGGGCAGCCCCAGUGGCCUGGACUGACCAGCUCAGCAGUCACCCAGGCCCACAUCCAGGGCCUUGGGUUGGCCCCCUAACAUCUACUCCAUCUAUGCCCUGCUGGAGCGUGUGAAAGAACUGGCCCAGUGGAAUGAUACCAGCAGGAUCUCCAUGACUCAGGGAGGCCACAGGAUAUCCAGAGGAGUUUUGGUUUUGCAUGAAUUCACAUUCCUGCGAGAGUUCUGAUUUGAUUCUGAAUAUAAAGUGUGAGGCUGGAGAGCGUCUCCAGUUAGGAGAGCUCGCUGCUCUUGCAGAGGACCGGAGUUCAGUUCCCAGCACCCAUGUCGGGGCAGCUCACAUCUGUCUGUCACUCCGGCUCUAGGGAUCUGACAUCCUCUUCUGGCCUCUGUGGGGGAUCUUGUGGACACUAGGUUGUGCUCUCUCUCACUCUUUC
Long non-coding RNA from Alexandromys fortis (reed vole), 670 nucleotides. RefSeq lists it as uncharacterized. Lineage: Eukaryota; Metazoa; Chordata; Mammalia; Rodentia; Cricetidae. The record is from RefSeq and is a predicted model, not a curated record. The transcript is spliced from 3 exons.